Molecule: ribosomal RNA, 253 nt
Filed under: uncultured bacterium
Lineage: Bacteria
Description: partial 16S ribosomal RNA
Rfam family: Bacterial small subunit ribosomal RNA
Source: RNAcentral
UACGUAGGCAGCAAGCGUUGUUCGGAGUUACUGGGCGUAAAGGGCUCGUAGGCGGCCAACUAAGUCGGACGUGAAAUCCCUCGGCUUAACCGGGGAACUGCGUCCGAUACUGGAUGGCUUGAGUUUGGGAGAGGGAUGCGGAAUUCCAGGUGUAGCGGUGAAAUGCGUAGAUAUCUGGAGGAACACCGGUGGCGAAGGCGGCAUCCUGGACCAACACUGACGCUGAUGAGCGAAAGCCAGGGGAGCAAACGGG